Molecule: ribosomal RNA, 378 nt
Filed under: Triticum aestivum (bread wheat)
Lineage: Eukaryota; Viridiplantae; Streptophyta; Magnoliopsida; Poales; Poaceae
Description: partial small subunit ribosomal RNA
Source: RNAcentral
AUGGAAUAUUUUAGGAUUUUAGGCACUGAAAUCACUGCAGGAGGGGCAAGCACCAGGCCACGAGAGUGGAGGGCGCGCCCACCUACCCUGGGCGCGCCCCCUGUCUCAUGGGCCCCUGGUGGCCCCCCUCCACUUAUGCCAGCACCCACACACUCCAUCUUCUUCCCAAAAAAUCCCCAUCCAGCUCAAGCACGAGUUCUAGCUCAUUUUGCUGCGAUUUUCGAUCUCCUUGCUCAAAGCUCCAUUCACAAAACUGCUUUGGGAGAUUGUUGCUUGGUAUGUGACUCCUCCAUUGGUCCAAUUAAUUUUUGUUCUAGUGUUUUAUUCAUUGCAAAUUUUUGCUGCAUAGGUGACCAUGUUCUUGAGCUUGCAUGUUAA